AACGAACGUUAGCGGCGCGCUUAACACAUGCAAGUCGAACGAGAAAGGGCUUCGGCCCCGGUACAGUGGCGCACGGGUGAGUAACACGUGGAUAAUCUUCCCUCGGGCGGGGGAUAACAUUCCGAAAGGAGUGCUAAUAACCGCAUAAGACCACGUUCUCGAAAGGGAACGAGGUAAAAGCCGGCCUCUAUAUAUAAGCUGGCACCUGAGGAUGAGUCCGCGGCCCAUCAGCUAGUUGGUAGGGGUAANGGCCUACCAAGGCUAAGACCGGGUAGCUGGUCUGAGAGGAUGAUCAGCCACACUGGAACUGAGACACGGUCCAGACU
This 326-nucleotide ribosomal RNA is filed under the name uncultured bacterium. RNAcentral's name for it is "bacterial SSU rRNA". It matches the Rfam family "Bacterial small subunit ribosomal RNA", at positions 29 to 337 of the family's 1533-position model. The record is from RNAcentral.